UCUUAUCCGUUGGGGUGCCCGCAAAGGCUGAGAAGUGUUGAUAACACUAACCCAUCGAACCUGAUACGGGUAAUACCGGCGAAGGGAACGGGUAGUCUGCUGUU
Molecule: non-coding RNA, 104 nt
Filed under: Nitrincola sp. A-D6
Lineage: Bacteria; Pseudomonadati; Pseudomonadota; Gammaproteobacteria; Oceanospirillales; Oceanospirillaceae
Also listed under: 1 other name
Description: TPP riboswitch aptamer (THI element)
Rfam family: TPP riboswitch aptamer (THI element)
About the family: Vitamin B(1) in its active form thiamin pyrophosphate (TPP) is an essential coenzyme that is synthesised by coupling of pyrimidine and thiazole moieties in bacteria. The previously detected thiamin-regulatory element, thi box was extended, resulting in a new, highly conserved RNA secondary structure, the THI element, which is widely distributed in eubacteria and also occurs in some archaea.
Source: Rfam by way of RNAcentral